GAGUUUGAUUCUGGCUCAGGACGAACGCUGGCGGCGUGCUUAACACAUGCAAGUCGAACGGAAAGGCCCCCACCUUGGUGGGGGUGCUCGAGUGGCGAACGGGUGAGUAACACGUGGGUGAUCUGCCCUGUACUUCGGGAUAAGCUUGGGAAACUGGGUCUAAUACCGGAUAGGACCAUGGUUUAGUGUCUCAUGGUGGAAAGAUUAUUGUUUUGGUGCAGGAUGAGCUCGCGGCCUAUCAGCUUGUUGGUGGGGUAAUGGCCUACCAAGGCGUCGACGGGUAGCCGGCCUGAGAGGGUGGACGGCCACAUUGGGACUGAGAUACGGCCCAGACUCCUACGGGAGGCAGCAGUGGGGAAUAUUGCACAAUGGGCGCAAGCCUGAUGCAGCGACGCCGCGUGGGGGAUGACGGCCUUCGGGUUGUAAACUCCUUUCGUUAGGGACGAAGCCACACCUUUUUUUGGGUGUGGUGACGGUACCUUUGUUAAGAAGCACCGGCUAACUACGUGCCAGCAGCCGCGGUAAUACGUAGGGUGCGAGCGUUGUCCGGAAUUACUGGGCGUAAAGAGCUCGUAGGUGGUUUGUUGCGUCGUCUGUGAAAUUCCGGGGCUUAACUUCGGGGUGGCAGGCGAUACGGGCAUAACUAGAGUGCUGUAGGGGAGACUGGAAUUCCUGGUGUAGCGGUGGAAUGCGCAGAUAUCAGGAGGAACACCGAUGGCGAAGGCAGGUCUCUGGGCAGUAACUGACGCUGAGGAGCGAAAGCAUGGGGAGCGAACAGGAUUAGAUACCCUGGUAGUC
This 798-nucleotide ribosomal RNA is filed under the name uncultured bacterium. RNAcentral's name for it is "bacterial SSU rRNA". It matches the Rfam family "Bacterial small subunit ribosomal RNA", at positions 9 to 795 of the family's 1533-position model. The record is from RNAcentral.